Molecule: ribosomal RNA, 466 nt
Filed under: uncultured bacterium
Lineage: Bacteria
Description: SSU rRNA
Rfam family: Bacterial small subunit ribosomal RNA
Source: RNAcentral
AGAAUCAACGCUGGCGGCGUGCCUAACACAUGCAAGUCGAACGAGAAAGUGGGAGCAAUCCCACGAGUAAAGUGGCGCACGGGUGAGUAACACGUGACUAACCUACCCUUGAGUGGGGGAUAACCUAGGGAAACCUGGGCUAAUACCGCAUAAUACCUACGGGUCAAAGGAGCAAUUCGCUUAAGGAGGGGGUCGCGGCAGAUUAGUUAGUUGGCGGGGUAAUGGCCCACCAAGACAGUGAUCUGUAUCCGGCCUGAGAGGGGCGCGACGGACGACGACCUGGAACUGAAACACGGUCCAGACUCCUACGGGAGGCAGCAGUGGGGAAUUUGCGCAAUGGGGGAAACCCUGACGCAGCAACGCCGCGUGGAGGAUGAAGCCCCUUGGGGCGUAAACUCCUUUCGAUCGGGAAGAUAAUGACGGUACCGGAAGAAGAAGCCCCGGCUAACUUCGUGCCAGCAGCCGC